UCCCGGAUCGUCUAACGGCAGGACGACUGCCUCUGGCGCAGUUAAUCGGGGUUCGAAUCCCUGUCCGGGAA
RNAcentral lists this transfer RNA (71 nucleotides) under Candidatus Berkelbacteria bacterium. Its description in RNAcentral is "tRNA-Gln". It matches the Rfam family "tRNA". Rfam says of the family: Transfer RNA (tRNA) molecules are approximately 80 nucleotides in length. Their secondary structure includes four short double-helical elements and three loops (D, anti-codon, and T loops). Further hydrogen bonds mediate the characteristic L-shaped molecular structure. tRNAs have two regions of fundamental functional importance: the anti-codon, which is responsible for specific mRNA codon recognition, and the 3' end, to which the tRNAs corresponding amino acid is attached (by aminoacyl-tRNA synthetases). tRNAs cope with the degeneracy of the genetic code in two manners: having more than one tRNA (with a specific anti-codon) for a particular amino acid; and 'wobble' base-pairing, i.e. permitting non-standard base-pairing at the 3rd anti-codon position. The record is from RNAcentral. Lineage: Bacteria; Candidatus Berkelbacteria.